GGUCAUUUAGGCAAAAAUUUGGAGAUGAGGCUUAUGCCAAGCUGGAUGUGAUUGAAGCUCAAUUUUUGGCGACCUUUAUGAUUUUUGCUGCAAGGUUGCUGGCCAUGAUGGGAAAACUGUAAUAGUUGCUGGGCUAGAUGGGGACUACUUAAGUGGGAGUAUUUCGGUGCUUUUUCGUGGGCUGCAUCACCAGAGUUCUAGGUAAUUUCAUUGUUAUUUUAUUCGAGUUCUGUAAAACAUGUGGUAUAAAUAAAAUUAUUUUAAGUUUUUUAAAAAGAAUAGUAUUUCUUUAUAUUUUUUCAAUAGUUUUGUCAAAACAUAUUACAGACUCUAUAAAUUUUAA
Non-coding RNA from Camellia sinensis, 343 nucleotides. The record is from RefSeq and is a predicted model, not a curated record. Lineage: Eukaryota; Viridiplantae; Streptophyta; Magnoliopsida; Ericales; Theaceae.